CGACGUUAGCUGCAGAAGAAGCACCGGCUAACUCCGUGCCAGCAGCCGCGGUUAAUACGGAGGGUUGCGAGCGUUAAUCGGGAAUUACUGGGCGUAAAGCGCAUGCAGGUGGUUUGUUAAGUCAGAUGUGAAAAGCCCCGGGGCUCAACCUCGGAAUUGCAUUUGAAACUGGCAAACUAGAGUACUGUAGAGGGGGUAGAAUUUCAGGUGUAGCGGUGAAAUGCGUAGAGAUCUGAAGGAAUACCGGUGGCGAAGGCGGCCCCCUGGACAGAUACUGACACUCAGAUCGCGAAAGCGUGGGGAGCAAACCAGGAUUAGAUACCCUCGGUAG
Molecule: ribosomal RNA, 331 nt
Filed under: uncultured bacterium
Lineage: Bacteria
Description: bacterial SSU rRNA
Rfam family: Bacterial small subunit ribosomal RNA
Source: RNAcentral